This 301-nucleotide ribosomal RNA is filed under the name uncultured bacterium. RNAcentral's name for it is "partial 16S ribosomal RNA". It matches the Rfam family "Bacterial small subunit ribosomal RNA", at positions 509 to 807 of the family's 1533-position model. The record is from RNAcentral.
CAGCCGCCGCGGUAAUACGAAGGGGGCUAGCGUUGUUCGGAAUUACUGGGCGUAAAGGGCGCGUAGGCGGCCAUUCAAGUUAGAUGUGAAAGCCCUGGGCUCAACCUAGGAAUUGCAUUUGAUACUGUUUGGCUUGAGUUCGGGAGAGGUGAGUGGAAUUCCCAGUGUAGAGGUAAAAUUCGUAGAUAUUGGGAAGAACACCAGUGGCGAAGGCGGCUCACUGGACCGACACUGACGCUGAGGCGCGAAAGCGUGGGGAGCAAACAGGAUUAGAUACCCCCGUAGUCCCUGUCUCUUAUAC